AAACCAACCGGGAUUGCCUUAGUAACGGCGAGUGAAGCGGCAAAAGCUCAAAUUUGAAAUCUGGUACCUUCGGUGCCCGAGUUGUAAUUUGUAGAGGGCGACUUUGGGGCUGGUCCUCGUCAAUUUCCUUGGAACCGGGACUUCAUAGAAGGGUGAGAAUUCC
This 163-nucleotide ribosomal RNA is filed under the name uncultured Kazachstania. RNAcentral describes it as "partial 26S ribosomal RNA". It matches the Rfam family "Eukaryotic large subunit ribosomal RNA", at positions 62 to 222 of the family's 3401-position model. Lineage: Eukaryota; Fungi; Ascomycota; Saccharomycetes; Saccharomycetales; Saccharomycetaceae. The record is from RNAcentral.